Molecule: ribosomal RNA, 453 nt
Filed under: uncultured Porphyromonadaceae bacterium
Lineage: Bacteria; Pseudomonadati; Bacteroidota; Bacteroidia; Bacteroidales; Porphyromonadaceae
Description: partial 16S ribosomal RNA
Rfam family: Bacterial small subunit ribosomal RNA
Source: RNAcentral
ACGGGAGGCAGCAGUGAGGAAUAUUGGUCAAUGGUCGGAAGACUGAACCAGCCAAGUCGCGUGCAGGAAGACGGUCCUAUGGAUUGUAAACUGCUUUUGUACGGGAAUAAAGUGCGGGACGUGUCCCGUUUGGAAUGUACCGUAAGAAUAAGGGUCGGCUAACUCCGUGCCAGCAGCCGCGGUAAUACGGAGGACCCGAGCGUUAUCCGGAUUUAUUGGGUUUAAAGGGUGCGUAGGCGGGAUGUUAAGUCAGCGGUGAAAGCGUGUAGCUCAACUAUACCAAGCCGUUGAAACUGGCGUCCUUGAGUGUAAACGAGGUAGGCGGAAUGUGAUGUGUAGCGGUGAAAUGCUUAGAUAUGUCACAGAACCCCGAUUGCGAAGGCAGCUUACCAGCAUACAACUGACGCUGAGGCACGAAAGCGUGGGUAUCAAACAGGAUUAGAUACCCUGGUA